GAUGAAGAACGUAGCGAAAUGCGAUAAGUAAUGUGAAUUGCAGAAUUCAGUGAAUCAUCGAAUCUUUGAACGCACCUUGCACCCUUUGGCAUUCCGAAGGGUAUGCUCGUUUGAGUGUCAUUGUACUCUCACUCUCCCGAUGCUUUUGGAUCGGGAGUGGUGGACUUGGGUGUUGCUGCUUUGCUGUGGCUCGCCUCAAAUGGAGUAGUGCAACUCUUGGUUGGACAUAGUACGGCGUGAUAAGUGUCUUCGCCGGCGCCUCAUUAUAGAGGGUGGCCGAUCGGGAGCUCUGUGCUUCAAACCGUCUUCGGACAACAUCUGACAACUUGACCUCAAAUCGAGUAGGAAUACCCGCUGAACUUAAGCAUAUCAAUAAGCGGAGGA
This 384-nucleotide unclassified non-coding RNA is filed under the name soil metagenome. Its description in RNAcentral is "partial contains 5.8S ribosomal RNA, internal transcribed spacer 2, and large subunit ribosomal RNA". The stretch from base 1 to 120 matches the Rfam family "5.8S ribosomal RNA", at positions 35 to 154 of the family's 154-position model. The record is from RNAcentral.